Molecule: long non-coding RNA, 1408 nt
Organism: Siniperca chuatsi (mandarin fish)
Lineage: Eukaryota; Metazoa; Chordata; Actinopteri; Centrarchiformes; Sinipercidae
Exons: 3
Source: RefSeq, a predicted model, not a curated record
GUUUAAGUCAGGUACAUGUGAGAUCACUCAUAGAGACAAAACCAAAUGGUUUAUUAAACUAAUUGUCAAAACAUAAAUCAAGCUAAUGGGUUUUGGAAGUACUGUACGAGAUAGUGGAGUAUUGCCAUGUAUACAUGACUGUGUUGUUGGUAUGUUGUCAGGUGUGCAAACAAAGAGAUUCUGAGGAAAGAAAACACAAGUGGAAAACCCCUCAGUAAGCCCAAGGCCAGAGGAGCAGCUCUCAAUGUUCAUCCAAUUUAUUCUAAUGAACCGCCCAACUCUGUUCACCCAUGACCCCUGCAAAUUAGAUGACGUGAGAAAAGUAUCUGUCAUCCUCUGCCCUCUGACCCAGUACCACAAAUGUAUUUAAACAUUUAAAUUUUUUACCUGAUCAAGAUGCAAUUUAGCUCAAAACAUUGCCUACUUAAUUAAAUAUGUGUAGUCAAUGUGCAGCUUUUUCAUUGAUGCUGUUUUUUUGCAAAAGCCAUGCACCUACAAUACACAUACAUACUGUAAAAUUACAGCCUUUCUUCCCAGGUGGGCUGCCAUGCAAAACAGAAAUUAUUGCCAAUCAAUCAGGCAAAAAAAGUGGGAUAUCUCUUCCAGCUUUAAGAAGCUUGUCAUUUGGCCAUACUAUCUGUGUUGGCAUAUGUCAUGGUUUAGGGUUUUUGUUCAGUCAUUUCCUGUUUUAUUUUGAAAUAUCUCCUUCCCUCAUGUGUCUUUUAGUUUUGCUUCCUGUCUUUGAUUGAUUGUUUUCACCUGUGUCUCGUUGUCUCCCCUACCUCUGUGUAUUUAAGUCUGUGUCUUCCUUUGUUUUGUGUCAGGUUGUUGUUCCACCAUGUGCCCUGUGUCUGUUCCCCAGUCCUGCUUGGUUUCCAGUUUCUCUCCCUGUGUUACCCUGCUCCCUGGAGUAUUUUGGAUUAUUCUUUGUUUGGGAAUGAAUUCUUGGUUGACUGUUACCUGGAUUCCUCAGCUGUCCUUAGUUGUUUUGCUUUCUCCUUUGGAUUUGUCUGCCACUCAUGGAUGACUUUUAUUCUGUGCCUGCUUAUCCUAUUGUAAGCUGUUGCAAGUGUGGAGGAGCACUGCUCCAGAUAAUCUGGCUGGCUUCCACUCUGAGUGCUGCUGCUGAUGGAGAUAGUGUAGAUACUGUUGCCGUAGCCGUCACAGGAACAGUGGUCACCUCUUCGCCCUCCGUUCCCUGCUGCCCAGACAAAAACAGAGCCCCUCCCAUGCCGGCCCUGAGAUUAAUUGGGGGAGCAGACAGAGCAAGACGAGUCAGAGGCCCAGGUCCCUCCAAAGUGGCCCCGUCAUCUUCUGGCCCCCAGCUAGCUGAGUAGACAUCAAUAUACUGUGGUCUGAAGCUCAGUGAUUGGGCCUCCACAAUGUCUGUCACAUCUCCAUCCAGCAU